RNAcentral lists this ribosomal RNA (253 nucleotides) under uncultured bacterium. RNAcentral's name for it is "partial 16S ribosomal RNA". It matches the Rfam family "Bacterial small subunit ribosomal RNA", at positions 524 to 776 of the family's 1533-position model. The record is from RNAcentral.
UACGUAGGGUGCGAGCGUUAUUCGGAAUUACUGGGCGUAAAGCGUGUGUAGGCGGUUUUGUAAGUCAGAUGUGAAAUCCCCGGGCUUAACCUGGGAAUGGCAUUUGGGACUGCAAGGCUCGAGUGCGGCAGAGGAGACUGGAAUUCCUGGUGUAGCAGUGAAAUGCGUAGAUAUCAGGAGGAACACCCGUGGCGAAGGCGGCACUCUGGGCCGAUACUGACGCUGAGGAACGAAAGCGUGGGGAGCGAACAGG